This 1209-nucleotide ribosomal RNA is filed under the name metagenome. Its description in RNAcentral is "bacterial SSU rRNA". It matches the Rfam family "Bacterial small subunit ribosomal RNA", at positions 297 to 1520 of the family's 1533-position model. The record is from RNAcentral.
AGGGAGAUCCCCCACACUGGUACUGAGACACGGACCAGACUCCUACGGGAGGCAGCAGUGAGGAAUAUUGGUCAAUGGGCGCAAGCCUGAACCAGCCAUGCCGCGUGCAGGAUGACGGUCCUAUGGAUUGUAAACUGCUUUUGCACAGGAAGAAACAACAUUACGUGUAAUGUCUUGACGGUACUGUGAGAAUAACGAUCGGCUAACUCCGUGCCAGCAGCCGCGGUAAUACGGAGGAUCCAAGCGUUAUCCGGAAUCAUUGGGUUUAAAGGGUCCGUAGGCGGUUUAGUAAGUCAGUGGUGAAAGCCCAUCGCUCAACGGUGGAACGGCCAUUGAUACUGCUAGACUUGAAUUAUUAGGAAGUAACUAGAAUAUGUAGUGUAGCGGUGAAAUGCUUAGAGAUUACAUGGAAUACCAAUUGCGAAGGCAGGUUACUACUAAUGGAUUGACGCUGAUGGACGAAAGCGUGGGUAGCGAACAGGAUUAGAUACCCUGGUAGUCCACGCCGUAAACGAUGGAUACUAGCUGUUGGGAGCGAUCUCAGUGGCUAAGCGAAAGUGAUAAGUAUCCCACCUGGGGAGUACGUUCGCAAGAAUGAAACUCAAAGGAAUUGGCGGGGGCCCGCACAAGCGGUGGAGCAUGUGGUUUAAUUCCAUGAUACGCGAGGAACCUUACCAAGGCUUAAAUGUAGACUGACCGGUUUGGAAACAGACUUUUCGCAAGACAGUUUACAAGGUGCUGCAUGGUUGUCGUCAGCUCGUGCCGUGAGGUGUCAGGUUAAGUCCUAUAACGAGCGCAACCCCUGUUGUUAGUUGCCAGCGAGUCAUGUCGGGAACUCUAACGAGACUGCCAGUGCAAACUGUGAGGAAGGUGGGGAUGACGUCAAAUCAUCACGGCCCUUACGCCUUGGGCUACACACGUGCUACAAUGGCCGGUACAGAGAGCAGCCACUGGGCGACCAGGAGCGAAUCUACAAAACCGGUCACAGUUCGGAUCGGAGUCUGCAACUCGACUCCGUGAAGCUGGAAUCGCUAGUAAUCGGAUAUCAGCCAUGAUCCGGUGAAUACGUUCCCGGGCCUUGUACACACCGCCCGUCAAGCCAUGGAAGCUGGGGGUGCCUGAAGUCGGUGACCGCAAGGAGCUGCCUAGGGUAAAACUGGUAACUAGGGCUAAGUCGUAACAAGGUAGCCGUACCGGGAGGUGCGGCUG